RNA transcript from Dipodomys spectabilis (banner-tailed kangaroo rat), 4320 nucleotides. It is a transcript of the gene named phosphodiesterase 7A, with no coding region annotated. The transcript has 14 exons. Lineage: Eukaryota; Metazoa; Chordata; Mammalia; Rodentia; Heteromyidae. The record is from RefSeq and is a predicted model, not a curated record.
GGGCGGAGGCAGGGCGGGCGUAUUCAAUGGAAGUAUGCUACCAGCUGCCGGUGCUGCCCCUGGACAGGCCGGUCCCCCAGCACGUCCUCAGCCGCCGAGGGGCCAUCAGCUUCAGCUCCAGCUCCGCGCUCUUCGGCUGUCCCAAUCCCCGGCAGCUCUCGCAGAGACGUGGAGCUAUUUCCUAUGACAGUUCUGAUCAGACUGCGUUGUACAUUCGUAUGCUAGGAGAUGUACGCGUGAGGAGUCGAGCAGGAUUUGAAUCAGAAAGGAGAGGUUCACAUCCAUACAUUGAUUUUCGUAUUUUUCACUCUCAAUCUGAAUUUGAAGUGUCUGUCUCUGCAAGGAAUAUCAGAAGAUUACUGAGUUUCCAACGCUAUCUCAGAUCCUCACGUUUUUUCCGUGGCACCACUGUUUCCAGUUCUCUAAACAUUUUAGAUGAUGAUUAUAAUGGCCAAGCCAAGUGUAUGCUGGAAAAAGUUGGAAAUUGGAAUUUUGAUAUCUUUCUAUUUGAUAGACUAACAAAUGGAAAUAGUCUAGUAAACUUAACCUUUCAUUUAUUUAGUCUUCAUGGACUAAUUGAAUACUUCCAUUUAGAUAUGAUGAAACUUCGUCGAUUUUUAGUUAUGAUUCAAGAAGAUUAUCACAGUCAGAAUCCUUACCACAAUGCAGUCCAUGCUGCAGAUGUUACUCAGGCCAUGCACUGUUACUUAAGGGAACCGAAGCUUGCCAAUUCUGUAACUCCUUGGGAUAUCUUGCUGAGCUUAAUUGCAGCUGCCACUCAUGAUCUGGAUCAUCCAGGUGUCAAUCAACCUUUCCUUAUUAAAACUAAUCAUUACUUGGCAACUUUAUACAAGAAUACCUCAGUACUGGAAAAUCAUCACUGGAGAUCUGCAGUGGGCUUGUUGAGAGAAUCUGGUUUAUUCUCACAUUUGCCAUUAGAAAGCAGGCAACAAAUGGAGACUCAGAUUGGUGCUUUGAUACUUGCCACAGACAUCAGUAGGCAGAACGAGUACCUGUCAUUGUUCAGGUCCCAUUUGGAUAGAGGUGACCUACGCCUAGAUGAUGGCAGGCAUAGACAUUUGGUUUUACAGAUGGCUUUGAAAUGUGCUGAUAUCUGUAACCCAUGUCGGACCUGGGAAUUAAGCAAGCAGUGGAGUGAAAAAGUAACAGAGGAAUUCUUCCACCAAGGCGAUAUAGAAAAGAAGUAUCAUUUGGGUGUGAGUCCACUUUGUGAUCGUCAGACUGAAUCUAUUGCCAACAUUCAGAUUGGUUUUAUGACCUACCUAGUGGAGCCUUUAUUUACAGAGUGGGCCAGAUUUUCAGACACAAGGCUGUCCCAGACAAUGCUUGGACACGUGGGGCUGAAUAAAGCCAGUUGGAAAGGACUACAGAGAGAACAGUCCAGCAGUGAGGACACAGACGCUGCCUUUGAGUUGAACUCACAGUUGUUACCUCAGGAAAAUCGCUUAUCAUAGCCCCCCAAAACAGUGGGACAAACUGCCUCUUGGAGAUUUUUAGAAAUGUGAAAUGGGGUCUUGAGGUGAAAGGACUUACUCUUGACUGCCAAGGUUUCCAAGUGAAUGAUGCCAGCAUUAUUUAUUUCCACAAUUACUCUGUUGGAUCAUUUGAACUUACUUUUUAAAUUCUAAGACCUGAACAUACAGCAAUAUGCAAUCGGCUUUUGUGUGAAACCUUGAAUAUGCAAAGCCCAGCAGAAAAACCAGAAGAGUAAACAAGGAAGCUUCUGGAGGUGUGCCGCGUGGUUUUCAUAGCAUUUGUUCUUCAAACCAUGAAACUUGAACUGAAUCUUUCUGCAGCAGUCUCUUGGAAUUCAGCCAGUCUGAAGCAACAAUGUGUCUGUACCUUCCACUAAGUUCUCUCUGAGAAAACGGAAAUGUGAAGUGCCCAGUCUCUGCUGCCUCUGGCAAUGUUUACAAAUCAACUCUGAAAAUACUGGCUCUAAAUUGCCUUGGAGCAUGAUUGUGAAGGAACCACUAAAAAAAAAUUGAGAUCAAACUGGACUGCAGCUCUUCCCCCUGGCUUGCCUUUUUGUUUUUUUCUUUCUUCUUUGGAUGCCAUCAAAGCCUCCUGUUUGCUGUAUCUUAUUUUGUGCACUGGAAACUGAGCAUUUGUCAGAAUAUCGUCAAGCUUCCACUCCAGUGCUGUUUGGCAAUGCAAUUUUUUAUUAACAUUAAGUUUUUCAUUUGGGGUGGGAGGGAAGAACACAAUGUCCUAGCUGUAUUAUGAUUCUGCAGUGAAGACAUUGCAUGUUGUUUUCACUACUGUACACUUGACCUGCUCAUGCAAGGAAAAGGUGGAAUGUUUAACACCAUAAUCAGCUCAGGGUAUUUGCCAAUCUGAAAUAAAGUGGGAUGGGGAAGUGUGUCCUUCAGAUCAAGGGUACUAAAGUCCCUUUCGCUGCAGUGCGUGAGAGGCAAAUCUUCUUGAGAAGCCAAAUUAUGAACAUCUGACUUACUUGGUGAGCAUGGAUUCUGAGCAAGGGAAUCAAGUUUCCUCAUGCAUACAUCUCCCUGUGCUGAUAUACCUGUUGAUGUUCAUGUCUGUGGACCAGAGUGCCCUCUUAACCCUGGAUGAUGCUAGAUUCUCUGCCAGCAGUUGCUUAUUCAUAUUAGCUGGUUGGCAAUUCUAUUAUCCUCAGCCUUGUUAAUCGGUCAAGCUCACCUAGGCUCCAUUCUACUCCCAUCAGUUAUGUGUGUCUUAAAGUUUAGUACUCCUAGGAGUACUAAAUCUACUUGCUAUGUACCCCUAUUUACAUGUUCUCAGAGGUAUACCUCAAUACUACUCCCAUUUUCCUGAUUACACCUACAAUAAACCCAUUGAAUUAUUGUGUUUUGUUAUGUAUAUGUGACAAUCACCUACCAAAAGCCCUUGCUUAAAUGUAACCUACAUUUUUCUAGAAAAUGAAGAAAUGGUUAAAUAUUUAAAUCACAUUUUUAAAGUACUAUAAAACAAUGCAAAUUUUACAUGAAUUUUCAAAAUAAAUUGGAAACUUAAAAAAAUAGUUAAGCAUGAAUCAAGUCCUCUGAGGCUUUAGACCCAAUGCUUAGGUAUUGGGAAAAUUUGCUUCAGGAGCAAAGGUCCUUGGAGAGAAAGGUUUAACAUGUUCUAGCUUAAUAAAAAUUGAUUGCUGAUCAACAUAUGAACUUACUAACAGUUUGAAAUGAUACUCUAUAUUUAAAAAGAAGUAAAAAAAAAAACACACUUUAUGUCAUUUGUAAACCUGAGACCUAUCCUUGUACCUACAGUACAAAUUAAAGGUGCUAAUAAUUCCUUUUAAGAUUCUGAAGAGUCUCUUUUCCCACAAUGCUUCCUUGACUUUUAUGAAGCUGUUUUCGCGGAAAAAAAAAAAUCACAACAAAGCCUUCUAGCAUACACAAAUAUCUUAAUGUGUAGUUUAACUUACCUCCCAAUCAGUUACCUGCCAAUUGAGAAAAUACACAGUGACCAGUAAUAUGAAUUCAUAUUACUUUUAAAGAACUUUACAUACUUGUCACCACAGCAUUAACAUACAUUGGAAUGACAAAAUAGGUCCAACACAUACCCUGCAGCCAUUCCUUGGUAAGGACCUGCAGGUAGCCUGUAUCAUUUAAGGGUUCCAAAAGUCCAUGGUCUACAGGUGGGAUGACCAUUCCUUGGGGUGGGGAUGAGCUGAUGACAAAUAGUCUAUUUUCCCAUUCCUGUGCUCAGUAUAAGACUGACUGGGCCAUCAAUAAACAUUGAGCAAUCUAUGGAAUGUACUCACUUCUUCAGCUAUUAAAACUAUUACUGAAAUAAGUCUGUAUUAUAUAAUAAAGAUUAUCUCAGUUCCUGUUGUGUGUAGCAAUGGACAUUAAAAUGUAUCCAUUCUUAAAGUGUUUGGGGUCAGAAUGUGUGCAGUGUUUAAAUAUGAUAAUUUUCAGAAUUAUACAAAAUUAGUAUUGUUGGGGUACUAUUCAGGAGAAUGAAAAAUGGCACCAUUUAAGAUUUUCUGUCUACACUUUGUAAAGCUGUCCUGCAACGUGUCUUGAGAGUGGAAGGGAAAGGGAAAUACCUCCAUUUUUAGUAUUAAAUUUCUGGUUGGCUGUUAUUUAAAACUAAAACAUGGCGACUGAUUCUACUGUGGCUUUUCAUUGAUCCCUUUGUUAAGAAAUUCCAUUUGUACUUAUCUUUAAACUAUGCAUUUGAGUUUUUUAAUGUAAGUUUGAAGUACUACUUUAUUGUUGAGACAUCCUGUAAAAAACAAAAUCAGGAAACUGUAAUGAUAUCACAAGUUCCUUUAUCUUAGCUGAAAUUUAUAUAAACUUUUUACAGGAAAUAACA